This 440-nucleotide ribosomal RNA is filed under the name uncultured bacterium. Its description in RNAcentral is "partial 16S ribosomal RNA". It matches the Rfam family "Bacterial small subunit ribosomal RNA", at positions 338 to 795 of the family's 1533-position model. The record is from RNAcentral.
CCUACGGGUGGCAGCAGUAGGGACUUUUGCGCAAUGGGCGAAAGCCUGACGCAGCAACGCCGCGUGAACGAGACGCCCUUCGGGGUGUAAAGUUCUGUCAGUGGGGACGAAAGAUGACGGUACCCACAGAGGAAGCACCGGCUAACUCCGUGCCGGCAGCCGCGGUAAUCCGGAGGGUGCAAGCGUUGUCCGGAAUCAUUGGGCGUAAAGAGUUCGUAGGCGGUAUGUUAAGUCUGGUGUUAAAUGCAGAAGCUCAACUUCUGUUCGGCACUGGAUACUGGCAAACUAGUAUGCGGUAGAGGUAAAGGGAAUUCCUGGUGUAGCGGUGAAAUGCUUAGAUAUCUGGAGGAACAUCAGUGGCGAAGGCGACUAUCUGGCACAUAACUGACGCUGAGGAGCGAAAGCGUGGGUAGCAAACAGGAUUAGAUACCCCAGUAGUC